GCGAGACGCGUGGCCCAAGCGACGGGUGCGACCGAUAAACUGGACGACGGUACGUAGCCGGGCGCAGCUCCCGGGCGUACCACCAAUGAUCAGCCAGCAGCCGCUGCAACCCCAGGGAG
Molecule: small RNA, 119 nt
Filed under: Streptomyces sp. TSRI0281
Lineage: Bacteria; Bacillati; Actinomycetota; Actinomycetes; Kitasatosporales; Streptomycetaceae
Description: Streptomyces-metK RNA
Rfam family: Streptomyces-metK RNA
Source: Rfam by way of RNAcentral